This 24-nucleotide non-coding RNA is filed under the name Arabidopsis thaliana (thale cress). Lineage: Eukaryota; Viridiplantae; Streptophyta; Magnoliopsida; Brassicales; Brassicaceae. The record is from RNAcentral.
AAAGUCUCCAGUCUCGGCCCAACU